GACGAACGCUGGCGGCGUGCCUAAUACAUGCAAGUCGAACGCACUCUCGUUUAGAUUGAAGGAGUUUGCUCCUGAUUGAUAAACAUUUGAGUGAGUGGCGGACGGGUGAGUAACACGUGGGUAACCUGCCCUAAAGUGGGGGAUAACAUUUGGAAACAGAUGCUAAUACCGCAUAAAACCUAACACCGCAUGGUGUAGGGUUGAAAGAUGGUUUCGGCUAUCACUUUAGGAUGGACCCGCGGUGUAUUAGUUAGUUGGUGAGGUAAAGGCUCACCAAGACCGUGAUGCAUAGCCGACCUGAGAGGGUAAUCGGCCACACUGGGACUGAGACACGGCCCAGACUCCUACGGGAGGCAGCAGUAGGGAAUCUUCCACAAUGGACGAAAGUCUGAUGGAGCAACGCCGCGUGAGUGAAGAAGGUUUUCGGAUCGUAAAACUCUGUUGUUGGAGAAGAAUGUAUCUGAUAGUAACUGAUCAGGUAGUGACGGUAUCCAACCAGAAAGCCACGGCUAACUACGUG
RNAcentral lists this ribosomal RNA (520 nucleotides) under uncultured bacterium. Its description in RNAcentral is "partial 16S ribosomal RNA". It matches the Rfam family "Bacterial small subunit ribosomal RNA", at positions 28 to 507 of the family's 1533-position model. The record is from RNAcentral.